AUGUGGGUUUCUCGGACGGUGGAUAUCCAGUCCAUAAUCUGUGUCAACCCAUCUGUUUGUUGGUGUCUAUGUAAUGUCUUGGUUAUGAUGUGGAAUAAUGGAGCUUGUUUGUUUGAGAAAGUGUUAUACCCACAUAAUUAUAUUAUUUGUGUUAAUCAUCAGACAAGCAUAUAUGAAAACUUAAAGCAAAAUAAAUUAAUGAACACAAGAGCAGCGUUAUUCAUACACUUAACAGUGUCUAUCCCAAAAGAAGUUUACCUCAAGGACCAUAAGAGCCCCAUUGUUUUCCACAAUGUCUAG
RNAcentral lists this ribosomal RNA (300 nucleotides) under Triticum aestivum (bread wheat). RNAcentral describes it as "partial small subunit ribosomal RNA". Lineage: Eukaryota; Viridiplantae; Streptophyta; Magnoliopsida; Poales; Poaceae. The record is from RNAcentral.